GGCUCCUUGUUAAUAUAUAUAUAAGGAGUCAGACCUGCCCAGUGAAUAAUUUUUUUAACGGCCGCGGUACUCUGACCGUGCAAAGGUAGCAUAAUAAUUUGCCUUAUAAUUGAAGGCUUGUAUGAAUGGUUUGACAAGAAUGAAGCUGUCUCUUUAUAGUUAAAUAGAAUUUUAUUUCUAGGUGAAGAAGCCUAAAUAUUAUUGAAAGACAAGAAGACCCUAUCGAGCUUAAAAUAAUUAAAUGAGUUCUUGAAAAUUUUAUUAGUAAUAAAAAUUAGUCAUUCAAAAUUUUGGUUGGGGCGACUUAGGAACAAAUAAAGCUUCCUAUUUUUAUAUAAUACAAACAAGUAAUGAUCCAAAAUAUUUGAUUAAGGGAAUUAGUUACCGUAGGGAUAACAGCAUUAUCUUUUUUGAGAGCCCUUAUCGAAAAAAAGGUUUGUGACCUCGAUGUUGGACCAGAAUAUCCUAAAGAUGUAGCCGUCUUUAAGGGUUGGUCUGUUCGACCAUUAAAAUUCUACGUGAUCUGAGUUCAGACCGGCGUGAGCCAGGUCAGUUUCUAUCUUCAAUUCAAUAUAAGCAAGCUUAGUACGAAAGGACCAGAUUGUUGCAACCAAAUUUGCUUUCAAGUGAAUUAAUAUAAAAAAAUAUUAAAAAAAUUAAAUUAAUCAAAUUAGCCAAGUUAAUGCAAUUGAUUUAGGAUCAAUCGACAUAGGUGAAACUCCUUUAUUUGAUAUAGAUAAUAGAUUUAGAAAUAAAGGUGGCAGAUGAA
This 769-nucleotide ribosomal RNA is filed under the name Favartia rosamiae. Its description in RNAcentral is "partial 16S ribosomal RNA". The stretch from base 1 to 590 matches the Rfam family "Bacterial large subunit ribosomal RNA", at positions 1817 to 2925 of the family's 2925-position model. Lineage: Eukaryota; Metazoa; Mollusca; Gastropoda; Neogastropoda; Muricidae. The record is from RNAcentral.